UACUUUNAGGCAGCAGUGAGGAAUAUUGGUCAAUGGCCGAGAGGCUGAACCAGCCAUGCCGCGUGCGGGAGGACGGCCCUAUGGGUUGUAAACCGCUUUUUUGUGGGAGCAAUAAGGGUCACGUGUGACCUGAUGAGAGUACCAUGAGAAUAAGCAUCGGCUAACUCCGUGCCAGCAGCCGCGGUAAU
This 188-nucleotide ribosomal RNA is filed under the name uncultured rumen bacterium. RNAcentral describes it as "partial 16S ribosomal RNA". It matches the Rfam family "Bacterial small subunit ribosomal RNA", at positions 339 to 524 of the family's 1533-position model. The record is from RNAcentral.